Small nucleolar RNA from Tachyglossus aculeatus (Australian echidna), 138 nucleotides. The record is from RefSeq and is a predicted model, not a curated record. NCBI's taxonomy places the organism in Eukaryota, Metazoa, Chordata, Mammalia, Monotremata, Tachyglossidae.
CCUCUCUCAGGAUUGCACCUGGAGAGUUUCCAGUACUCUACCAGUCUCAGCUACAGAAGGGAGAGUCAAGCAGAGGGGUACCCAUUCCAUGCCUAGAUUGGACAGUGUCGAGUGAGUUGAAGGCAAUCUGCUACAAGU